GACGAACGCUGGCGGCGUGCUUAACACAUGCAAGUCGAACGGAAAGGCCCGCUUUUGUGGGGUGCUCGAGUGGCGAACGGGUGAGUAACACGUGAGUAACCUGCCCUUGACUUUGGGAUUACUUCAGGAAACUGGGGCUAAUACCGGAUAGGAGCUCCUUCUGCAUGGUGGGGGUUGGAAAGUUUCGGCGGUUGGGGAUGGACUCGCGGCUUAUCAGCUUGUUGGUGGGGUAGUGGCUUACCAAGGCUUUGACGGGUAGCCGGCCUGAGAGGGUGACCGGCCACAUUGGGACUGAGAUACGGCCCAGACUCCUACGGGAGGCAGCAGUGGGGAAUAUUGCACAAUGGGCGGAAGCCUGAUGCAGCAACGCCGCGUGCGGGAUGACGGCCUUCGGGUUGUAAACCGCUUUCGCCUGUGACGAAGCGUGAGUGACGGUAAUGGGUAAAGAAGCACCGGCUAACUACGUG
RNAcentral lists this ribosomal RNA (467 nucleotides) under uncultured bacterium. RNAcentral's name for it is "partial 16S ribosomal RNA". It matches the Rfam family "Bacterial small subunit ribosomal RNA", at positions 28 to 507 of the family's 1533-position model. The record is from RNAcentral.